UGUUGUCAGUGAUGAUCCCUAACUUUACCUACCUUGUUUGAGAACAUAUGAGAACUUUCAAAUAUCUGAGACAACA
The sequence is a small nucleolar RNA, 76 nucleotides long. Its record names the gene SNORD34. It matches the Rfam family "Small nucleolar RNA SNORD34". Rfam says of the family: snoRNA U34 is found in intron 5 of the ribosomal protein L13a gene in humans. The record is from Ensembl.